Molecule: long non-coding RNA, 2700 nt
Filed under: Gouania willdenowi (blunt-snouted clingfish)
Lineage: Eukaryota; Metazoa; Chordata; Actinopteri; Blenniiformes; Gobiesocidae
Description: lncRNA (ENSGWIG00000022235.1)
Source: RNAcentral
GAAGUCCUAGGAAUGCCACAUACUGACAUAGUGGUGCAGAUGCUUACAGAGUGGGUCAGGCUUGGAGAGAGAGAAAGAGAGAGAGAGAGAGAGAAAGAGAGCCAGAAGUCAUGUGUGUGUUUCAUGUUGUUCUUCUUUGCUGACAGGCACUGGAACCAGUUUGACCAAAGCCUGGAGCUGAAGGGGAAACAGUCAAAUCAUGGUUUUACUAACAUCUCUGCAGUUGAUGUUGCUCUCCUGGAUGUCAGCGCUCAACGCUGCCCAAGCUGUGGCGGAGAUCUGCCGCGGGACGCAGUGCUAUGCUGGGGGGGACGCCAAUGACCCACGGCCAUGCACCGGAGCGCACUGCCCCGGGGGGAGAUCGCUCCGAACUCUACGGCACCUGAACCCACAGACGGUGUCCAGCGUCCACCAGAACACCCCCAGGGCUCAGCCAGACUCCACCCCGGCCGUGCAGCUGCUCCGCGGGCGGCACGGUGGAGACAGGAGCGCACGGAUGAGAGCCCACGAUGUCUCACACGCAGGAUGCCCAGAAACAGACCCAGACUGCGCAGCGUUGGUGAAGCAAAGUCAGCCCGGUAAUGACACCCGGGAGUGUCGGGGCAUCGAGUGCAGACUGCCCCCAAGGAUCCGGUCUAAACACAGAGGGAAGCCGUGUGUUGGAGAGGGAUGUUCGGCUGUUUCCUCCGGCACCAGCCAGCAGCCGCUAGUCCGUCUGUCCGAUAGAGCUGCACAAUUCCUGGGUGACUUUCCCGAGUUCGGACACCCGUCCUCGGAUUAUGGCAGUGCGCCUUUGGGUGUCCAGCUCACCUGUGACAUCAAACCAGGGGAGAAUGAAGUUCCUUCAGAAGAUGCCCUCGUCCUGCACCUCCAACUGGCCAAAGGACAGGAGAAGCUUGUGGAGGCCCUACAAAACCAGCAGAACAUCAUCCGCGAGCUUCAGCAGAAGCUUGCUGACCAACAGGAGGCCCUUCUGUCCCAGCAGCGUGAGGUCCUGGAGCAGCAGCGGCUGAUGUAUGGGCAGAUGGACGUGGUGAAGGCUCAGUAUGGCCUCCUCUCAGACACCAUCAAACAGGUGUCCUUCCAGGGCCUGCAGAGUGAGCUGCAGAGUUACUUUGAGAGUCACCUUGUAGGACUGCAGAACCAAGCACGGAACCACCUGCAGAAGUCCUACGCGGUCCAUAAAGUAGACAUCGAGUCCAAAGUGAUGGAUGCAAUAGGGGAGGCUCAUUUCCCCCAGCCUCUGCUGGGAUGUCCUUCACCCUGCAGAUCAGAAGAAUACUGCGAUUUCCAGAGGGAACCCCCCCAGUGUGAGAAGUGCACCAUGUGUCCACCUGGGUUCUUCUUGAUCUCACAGUGCUCACCGACUGCAGACAGGAUGUGUCAGGACAGAGAUGAAUGCCUUGAAAUUCCAAAUGCUUGCGGAGAGCGAGGAAAGUGCCUUAAUACACCAGGUGGAUUCAGGUGUCUGGGAGUUUCUGAGAGAAAAACAAUAAUGGGCUUGUGUGGUCAGGAGUACUUUUACAACCAGGAGCUUCAGGAGUGCCAGGCCUGCUCAGAUUGUGAUGGUGAGCACGUCACUGUUCACUGCACUGCAAUCAGCGACACAAUCUGCAGCCAGUAUGCUGAGAACCGCCUCUCACAGUCUUGGACAUCAAACACAGCGCUUCCUCCUGCCACAACGUCUGGUGGCCACAUCUUCCCAGAGCUUCAGCUAAACAUGCAAAGCAAAGAAAGCAGUGACAUGCUAUCCGGCACGGCGGGACAGGUGACCUUUCUGCAGCACGGGCUGGUGUGGUUGGAUCUUAACUUUGCGAUAAAGCACAGCUGCAGGAACUUCCUCCAGCUGGGGAUGCGGCUCAAUGAUAGUCAGGAGGAAGAGGGUCGCGACCUGAGCGGGGUUCGCAUCGAGCAGCCGGAUGGGAAGUACUUCCAGGGGAUCAGUGUGAGCAGCGGUGUGGAGGUGGAGCCUAACCAGAUCUUCACAUUGGUGCUGAAGAGUCCCAACCAGUACUGCAAUCAGAGCAAGGACAUUCAUAUCUAUGACAUCGCUGCUCCUUCCUUCAGCAUGCUCUGGUUGUCUCAUGAUACAGGCGCUGUAGCAAUGACGGCUCAGAUGACCCUGCUGACGCACUACCAGAGCAGCUACCGUCCAACAUUUCGUGUGACCUCAGUGUCCGACCCUUACAUGAUCAGCCUGACCCAUGACUGUCGCGGGGUUCACUUCAAAGAAAGCGGAGUGGUGAAGUUUGUCCUUCAGCAGGCUCUUUACUCCAUGGGUCACACCUGUAUUCGAGAGGGUUUCUCUUUGAUCGCCUACACCAACAGCAACGGGACCGCCCAGGAGGCAAUGCAGGCUUAUAAAACAGGUGUUAACUACAGAGACACAUCCAUGACUCUGUCAGGAGCCGUCAACAUCAACAGUGGCGACACGCUCAGCUUUGAGAUUACAUCCCCGUCACAGUGUAACAUUCGUUACUUUGGGGACAGCACUGGGAUCAGUAUAAUGAGCCUAAUUUGGAUUCCUUCAGCUGUGUCUUCAGCCUUGUUGGCUACAGUGUCCAGGACUGGUCUUCCCCUUGGAGCAGUCAGGAAUAAACCUCUGUUGUUCCAGCAGAUCAGCACGGACACUCCUCAGCUACACUUGGCUCGCCCAGGGGAGCCCAACAGCAGGAAGAACUUCAUAUUCCACGAGAAAGG